GAUGAACGCUGGCGGCGUGCCUAAUACAUGCAAGUCGAGCGAACAGACGAGGAGCUUGCUCCUCUGACGUUAGCGGCGGACGGGUGAGUAACACGUGGAUAACCUACCUAUAAGACUGGGAUAACUUCGGGAAACCGGAGCUAAUACCGGAUAAUAUAUUGAACCGCAUGGUUCAAUAGUGAAAGACGGUUUUGCUGUCACUUAUAGAUGGAUCCGCGCCGCAUUAGCUAGUUGGUAAGGUAACGGCUUACCAAGGCAACGAUGCGUAGCCGACCUGAGAGGGUGAUCGGCCACACUGGAACUGAGACACGGUCCAGAAUCCUACGGGAGGCAGCAGUAGGGAAUCUUCCGCAAUGGGCGAAAGCUUGACGGAGCAACGCCGCGGGAGUGAUGAAGGUCUUCGGAUCGUAAAACUCUGUUAUUAGGGAAGAACAAAUGUGUAAGUAACUAUGCACGUCUUGACGGUACCUAAUCAGAAAGCCACGGCUAACUACGU
Molecule: ribosomal RNA, 496 nt
Filed under: uncultured bacterium
Lineage: Bacteria
Description: partial 16S ribosomal RNA
Rfam family: Bacterial small subunit ribosomal RNA
Source: RNAcentral